UACGUAGGGUGCGAGCGUUAAUCGGAAUACUGGGCGUAAAGCGUGCGCAGGCGGUUCGUUAUGUCCGAUGUGAAAGCCCCGAGCUCAACUUGGGAAUGGCAUUGGAAACUGGCGGGCUGGAGUGUGGCAGAGGGGGGUGGAAUUCCCGGUGUAGCGGUGGGAAUGCGUAGAGAUCCGGAAGAACACCGGUGGCGAAGGCGGGUCUCUGGGCCGAUACUGACGCUGAGGAGCGAAAGCGUGGGGAGCGAACAGG
Molecule: ribosomal RNA, 253 nt
Filed under: uncultured bacterium
Lineage: Bacteria
Description: partial 16S ribosomal RNA
Rfam family: Bacterial small subunit ribosomal RNA
Source: RNAcentral